UCAGAGGGCGGGGUGAUCGCUCGUCGGUACUGCACCGGCGGGAGGAAAGUCCGGGCUCCGCAGGACAGGAUGGUCGAUAACGUCGACCGGCCGUGAGGCUAGGGAAAGUGCAACAGAGAGUAGACCGCCGAACGGUCCGCGCGGGGUUCGCCCCUGCGGAUGCGUGGUGAGGGUGAAACGGUGCGGUAAGAGCGCACCAGCGAUCGGGGUGACUCGAUCGGCUCGGUAAACCCCAUCCGGAGCUAGACCAAACAGGGUGCAGAAGCGGUCCGCUUCGCGAUCGACACCCGGGUAGGUCGCAAUGGAGGCGACGAGCAAUCGUCGUGCACAGAUAAAUGGUCGCCACCAUCGACGUCGCCGGACUCUGGUCCGGUAAGGCGUUCGAUCGGUACAGAACCCGGCUUACAAGCCCUCUGGUCGU
This 421-nucleotide RNase P RNA is filed under the name Rhodopirellula sp. SM50. RNAcentral describes it as "RNase P RNA component class A". It matches the Rfam family "Bacterial RNase P class A". From Rfam's summary of the family: Ribonuclease P (RNase P) is a ubiquitous endoribonuclease, found in archaea, bacteria and eukarya as well as chloroplasts and mitochondria. The record is from RNAcentral. Lineage: Bacteria; Pseudomonadati; Planctomycetota; Planctomycetia; Pirellulales; Pirellulaceae.